Molecule: long non-coding RNA, 252 nt
Filed under: Serinus canaria (Common canary)
Lineage: Eukaryota; Metazoa; Chordata; Aves; Passeriformes; Fringillidae
Description: lncRNA (ENSSCAG00000016322.1)
Source: RNAcentral
CCAAGACAUUCUCCAGUGCUGAUCUGUUCUACUUCUCAACCCAAAUGACGCAUAGGUACCCAGGGUUUAACAAGCAUUAAAAUUAAGGAGGAUGUAAUAAUCAGCCCCAGAAACUUUUCAAAACCUGCUCGCCCUGUGCAGCCUCCCAGCCUUGGUGGGAGAAGGUGCCCGUGCUCACUGCACUCUGAGUGCAGAGGAGCCUCUCAGUCCUGCACUGAAGGUACUCCCAGGAGCAGCUCACCUUGGGGAAAC